Molecule: non-coding RNA, 73 nt
Organism: Pangasius djambal
Lineage: Eukaryota; Metazoa; Chordata; Actinopteri; Siluriformes; Pangasiidae
Source: the annotation of a GenBank genome assembly
GCCUGGCUAAUUCAGUUGGUAGAGCAUGGAACACUUGAUGUCAGGAUCUUGGGUUGGAGCCCCAAGCUGGGCA